Molecule: ribosomal RNA, 471 nt
Filed under: uncultured bacterium
Lineage: Bacteria
Description: bacterial SSU rRNA
Rfam family: Bacterial small subunit ribosomal RNA
Source: RNAcentral
UUCCAGACUCCUACGGGAGGCAGCAGUGGGGAAUAUUGCGCAAUGGACGAAAGUCUGACGCAGCGACGCCGCGUGAGGGAUGAAGGUUUUCGGGUCGUAAACCUCUGUCAGGAGGGAAGAAAGCGUAUGGCGCCAAUCAGCCAUGCGUUGACGGUACCUCCAAAGGAAGCACCGGCUAACUCCGUGCCAGCAGCCGCGGUAAUACGGAGGGUGCGAGCGUUAAUCGGAAUCACUGGGCGUAAAGCGCUCGUAGGCGGUAUGUCAAGUCAAGGGUGAAAUCCCCGCGCUCAACGUGGGAACUGCCUUUGAAACUGGCAAACUGGAGUGUGUGAGAGGAUAGUGGAAUUCCAGGUGUAGGAGUGAAAUCCGUAGAUAUCUGGAGGAACAUCAGUGGCGAAGGCGACUAUCUGGCACAUAACUGACGCUGAGGAGCGAAAGCGUGGGUAGCAAACAGGAUUAGAUACCCGAGUA